GAACCUCAUAAUUCGUAUUGACAUUCGAGAUAGGAAAAUGAACCACGAAGAACCAAAAUUAUAAAUCCCCACCAAGUAAAAACGGUUAACAACAGCGAAACAUAAAAAUGAACAAAGGUGGAUUCUUGAAUCAUGAUGAUAAUUAAGUAUAUAGAAUGUUAGUAGACUUGAAAACAAAACCAACGAUGGAGCCAGGGGAAUUUCGAAACGAAACAUAUUUUCAUUAGUGUUGUGUGCGCAUUGGGGAAGAUAGUACAAUAAGAGGGAAACCAAACUCGAGUUAAACGAAAGAAGAAACUAUUCGAGCUUCGACAUAGUAUGGCAUUUGCCUCAAUUUCAGACGCGGCUAUCACAAAAUCCUUUGCAUAUGACAUCAUUUUAGGGUAUACCAAGUCCCUCACAGCAUGUGUUCCUGCCAUCAAGAACAAUAUAUAACAAAUACUGAGUUCUUGAAUCUCAAUGCAUCUCUAACGUCCCAUUAGGAUUCAGAGCAUGAUAAGGUUAUGCAAAAAGCAAAUCACAAUCAGAGUAAAAGAGCAGACCCUGAUGUGCAAGAACUACCUGAACCAUGUGAUUAUUAGAAGUAAACUAAACACUUAAAUCAGAAAUACCUAAGAAUGAGAGAAAAACACUGAAGCAAGAGGCGUGGAUCUGGUGAAAGUGAAAUGGGGAAAACACCAGAACUGCAUGAUUAAGUAAAGGUGGAAUACAAAAGUCCAGACAACUUACUAAUAGGUAGGUAAGAACACAGUGAAAUAGCAGAGACCAACAUAAAAGUUUACUGAGUACAUUCUACCACCCCCAAAGUGCAUGUCACCCCAACUCCACAAUAAUAGAAAAUAGGUAUCAAAGCAAGGAAAGAUAAAACACCAGCAAUACUCUACAUGCAUACAUAACACAAGAGAUUAGGUAAAACAUUAUGCAGUUGGAACUGGACCUAAAAAGUUAAAACCCAGUCUUACAACACUGUUAUAUAUGCUCGUAAUAACCCACCAAGUGCAGAACUUGAUAAGAUAACACUGAUGAACAGAAGAACAUAGCGAAUAAUGAAUCAUUUGUUACAAAAAUUGAUAAGAUGUAGGUGUCGACCCUAAACUCAGAUUAGUAAAUCACAAUCAAGACAAUAUAAGCUGCUUAUUUUACAGGAGCUGAACCAGAAACCCAUAUCAAUAUACCACAACCUGAUACAAGGUGCACAUGGCCAUAGCGAGAAACAGAUCUGGUUGGGAUAUGGUACCCAGCUUCCGUGUAUGCUCGUAAAAGAAGUUCAGUGCGUACCGAAAUAUCCCGGAAAAACAUACUCGCAGCAGGAAAAGAAAACAGAAGAAAGUAUGAGAAAAAAGAGAGUGGCCGAUGAAACAGAGGGCACCACUGGAACUGGCAUGAAGAAAAGGGGACAGCUAUUAUAUAUGAGAAAAUUGAGGGGAAGACGAAAUAGAGAAGGGAGAAUGACCUAAAAGGAGAUAGGAGGACACCAGCCCAUAGGCAAGGAAACACAAAUAGGAAAUCAGUUGGCAGACAGGGGAAGCGGAAAAAGAAGGAAGGAAGCAAACCUCAAAGUCAGUCUAGGAGAUUCGCCAGAUUCCCAAGCGCAGAUGAAGAUGAUCGGGCGGGGUUUUCAGGUGAGAGAUCGUAGAGGAGCAUUUUGUGUUUGGUAGAAGAAAGAACCACAGUGAAUGGGAGGAAUAAAAGCACAGGUGAAUCAAAACUAAUUCAGGUCAUAGGAUAAAAUCGGAACUGGUGGAUAUGAGUACGGAUUUGAUAUAUUUAUUAUUUAUUUGUUUAUUCGUUAGAUUUUAUUUAUAAUUAUUUAUUCUGUCUAAAUGAGAAUAAUAGGAAAAUCAUCCCUUGUCCAUUUAUGGGUUUUGGGUUUAUCCAU
This 1879-nucleotide long non-coding RNA is filed under the name Linum usitatissimum (flax). RNAcentral's name for it is "long non-coding RNA (LUSI_LNC003470)". Lineage: Eukaryota; Viridiplantae; Streptophyta; Magnoliopsida; Malpighiales; Linaceae. The record is from RNAcentral.